CACGCCGUAAACGAUGGAUACUAGGUGUAGGAGGUAUCGACCCCUUCUGUGCCGGAGUUAACACAAUAAGUAUCCCACCUGGGGAGUACGGCCGCAAGGUUGAAACUCAAAGGAAUUGACGGGGGCCCGCACAAGCAGUGGAGUAUGUGGUUUAAUUCGAAGCAACGCGAAGAACCUUACCAGGGCUUGACAUCCCUCGCAUACCAUAGAGAUAUGGUAGUCCUUCGGGACGAGGAGACAGGUGG
RNAcentral lists this ribosomal RNA (245 nucleotides) under uncultured Clostridium sp. RNAcentral's name for it is "partial 16S ribosomal RNA". It matches the Rfam family "Bacterial small subunit ribosomal RNA", at positions 796 to 1041 of the family's 1533-position model. Lineage: Bacteria; Bacillati; Bacillota; Clostridia; Eubacteriales; Clostridiaceae. The record is from RNAcentral.